Molecule: ribosomal RNA, 444 nt
Filed under: uncultured bacterium
Lineage: Bacteria
Description: bacterial SSU rRNA
Rfam family: Bacterial small subunit ribosomal RNA
Source: RNAcentral
AACGCGAAGAACCUUACCUGGGCUUGAACUACUCGUGGUAGUUCGCUGGAAACAGUGGACGACCCGCAAGGGAGCGAGCAGAGGUGCUGCAUGGUUGUCGUCAGCUCGUGUCGUGAGAUGUUGGGUUAAGUCCCGCAACGAGCGCAACCCCUAUCCAAUGUUGCUACUCCCCUUAAAAGGAAGCACUCGCAGGAGACCGCCAGCGAUAAGCUGGAGGAAGGUGGGGAUGAUGUCAAGUCAUCAUGGCCUUUAUGUCCAGGGCUACACACGUGCUACAAUGGACGGUACAAAGCGCUGCGAACCGCGAGGGAAGCUAAUCGCAAAAAACCGUUCUCAGUUCGGAUCGCAGGCUGCAACUCGCCUGCGUGAAGCUGGAAUCGCUAGUAAUGGUGUAUCAGAACGAUACCGUGAAUACGUUCCCGGGCCUUGUACACACCGGUACUA